RNAcentral lists this ribosomal RNA (494 nucleotides) under uncultured bacterium. RNAcentral describes it as "partial 16S ribosomal RNA". It matches the Rfam family "Bacterial small subunit ribosomal RNA", at positions 28 to 507 of the family's 1533-position model. The record is from RNAcentral.
GACGAACGCUGGCGGCGUGCUUAACACAUGCAAGUCGAACGGAAAGGCCUGCUUUCCUUUGUGGCUUGCGGGUACUCGAGUGGCGAACGGGUGAGUAACACGUGAGUGAUCUGCACCCAACUUGGGUAUAAGCCUGGGACACUGGGUCUAAUUCUCGAUAGGACUGCAGGGUGGUGCCUGUGGUGGAAAACGAUUUUCUAGUGGUUGGGGAUGAGCUCGUGGCCUUUCUGCUUGUUGGUGGGGUAAUGGCCUACCAUGGCGACGACGGGUAGCCGAGCUGAGGAGGAGGACGGGGACAGUGAGACUGAGCGGCGGCCCAGACACCGACGGGAGGCAGCGGUGGGGAAGAGAGGACGCUGGGGGGAAGCCUGCAGCAGCGACGCCGCGUGGAGGAUGACGGGCUGCGGGUGGUAAGCACCUUUCGGGCGCGAAGAAGUCACCUGGUUGGGAGGAUGGUGACGGUAGUGGUAGAAGAAGCACCGGCUAACUACGUG